AUGGACCCCGCGGCCUUCGCUUCCCCUUCGUUCGACGCCUGCGUCCAAGGCAGCAGCUUCCAGCCGCUCAACCCAGAAGACGUGCGCGCAUACCUCUACAAGGCUGCCGACUUCAUCAUGGAUUACUACACCAGCGUUGAGUCCAUGCCGGUUCUCCCCGACGUGAAACCCGGCUACCUACGGGACGAGCUGAGGGCGUCCCCGCCAGAACACUCGGCUCCCUUCGACGUCACCAUGAAGGAGCUGAGGACAUCGGUCGUCCGCGGGAUGACGCACUGGGCUAGCCCCAGUUUCUUCGCGUUUUUCCCGUCCACCAACAGCGCCGCAGCCAUCGCGGGGGAGCUGAUCGCUUCGGCCAUGAACACCGUAGGGUUCACGUGGCAGGCGGCUCCCGCGGCCACCGAGAUGGAGGUGCUCGUGCUCGACUGGCUCGCCCAGCUCCUGCGCCUGCCAACCAGCUUCAUGAACCGCACCAGCGUGGGGCGUGGCACCGGAGGCGGUGUCAUCCUGGGGACCACUAGCGAAGCCAUGCUCGUCACGCUUGUUGCUGCGCGUGACGCGGCGCUGCGGCGGAUUGCCUCCAAUGGCAUGUCCUACAUCACAAGGCUCACGGUGUACGCUACCGGCCAGACACACUCCACAUUCUUCAAGGCAUGCCGCCUUGCCGGCUUCGACCCUGCCAACCUCCGAUCCAUUCCCACCGAGCCGGAGACAGACUACGGGCUCGACCCGGCGAAGUUGCUCGAGAUCAUGCAGGUUGACUUCGAUGCUGGUCUCGUGCCAACGUACAUCUGCGCCACUGUCGGCACCACAUCAUCCAACGCCGUGGACCCAGUGAGCACAGUGGCCUCUGUCGCGGCCAUGUUUAAUGCAUGGGUCCAUGUCGAUGCUGCUUACGCUGGCAGCGCAUGCAUCUGUCCGGAGUUUCGGCACCACAUCGACGGUGUUGAGCGCGUGGACUCCAUCAGCAUGAGCCCGCACAAGUGGCUGCUCACCUGCCUUGACUGCACCUGCUUGUGGGUGCGCGACACGAACCGCCUCACGGACGCGCUGCAGACGAACCCGGAGUACCUCAAGAAUGACGCUACUGAGUCCGGCGAGGUCAUUGAUCUCAAGGAUAUGCAAGUUGGCGUCGGCCGCCGCUUCCGAGGGCUCAAGCUUUGGAUGGUGAUGCGCACAUAUGGCACCGCCAAGCUUCAGCAGCACAUCCGAAGCGAUGUCGCGAUGGCCAAGGCGUUCGAGGACCUUGUACGUGCCGAUGACCGGUUUGAGAUUGUAGUGCCGAGAAACUUCGCCCUCGUAUGCUUCAGGAUCAGAGCAAGAGGAACCAUGACGGAGGAAGCCACCGAUGAGGUGAACCGUGUGCUGAUUAACCGGCUCAACAUCUCCAGGAAGGCCUACCUAGCACACACCGUGGUUGGCAACAGAUUCGUUCUACGGUUCGCGGUGGGGUCGUCGCUGCAGGAGGAUCGGCACGUGAGAAGCGCCUGGGAGCUCAUAAAGAAAACAACCGCCAAGAUCAUCGAUGGGGAGGAGAUCGUGCAAUAA
This 1548-nucleotide ribosomal RNA is filed under the name Triticum aestivum (bread wheat). Its description in RNAcentral is "partial small subunit ribosomal RNA". Lineage: Eukaryota; Viridiplantae; Streptophyta; Magnoliopsida; Poales; Poaceae. The record is from RNAcentral.